UUUUUGUUCUUCUCUUAGGGAGUCCAGCUGAGCUGAAGCAGUGAAGAUGAGUGCUGACUCAAGAAGUCAUUUUGCUGUGUUGUACAGCAGAAAAGGUCUGCAAAUACAUUCAGAAGAAAGCCUAUGGACCUACUGUAAGGCUGUGUGGAUAUUCUGCAAGAGGUUCAGCGUGAAACUAAUAUUCUUUAGACUCUUGGAAUCAGGGUGUAAGAGCUUAUUGCCCUAACCCAUGUUGGAGUCUGCUACUCUUGUGACAGAUGCAGCAGAAAGGAAUUUACACCUGUGCUUCAGCUGUUCAGUUUGCAGUCUACUGUCUUAACACAAACUUACACAUUCUUCAGCAGGUUAAACUGAGAUGCCAGUAUGAAAACUGGAGCAGCUGAAAUGCAAACACAUGCUCUCUUCCUGAAAACACAGUUUCUUCCUGCUCUCAGCCCUGCCAAAGCAUUUCAUCAGUCCUUUCCAAUUCCCACCAUUUCCUAUUGAGUUCCUGGUAUUGGGGAAAUGGAGUUGAAUGCAGUGCUUGAAAACUGCACCCUGAUUUUACUAAGAGACAUUAUUUUUAUUUGAAAGACUUUGAACAACCUCCCUUUUCUCAGAAUUAGAUUCUACCUGGUCAUGGGGGGGCUUGUCUAGUAAGUGAUUAAAUAAAAAAGGAAAACCUUAAGCA
RNAcentral lists this long non-coding RNA (670 nucleotides) under Cyanistes caeruleus (blue tit). Its description in RNAcentral is "lncRNA (ENSCCEG00000020449.1)". Lineage: Eukaryota; Metazoa; Chordata; Aves; Passeriformes; Paridae. The record is from RNAcentral.